ACGGCCCUUGCGAGCGCAUACCAAGCACGUAUACACGGCGUCCCGUUUCUAUCGCGUAAUUAUCACACGACGAUCGCAGAACAGUCCGCAACAGCGAUCGCGCGGGUGAGAUGCUCAAUAACUUCCGAAUUAUGAGCGAUUAGAAACGAACUGGGAAGUAAACUACGCUUCAAAGAGGAGAACUGCGUUCCUCGGCUAUUUCAAAAUAAUACGGCGAAAAAUGUCUUGUUUGGACUUCGUAUUUUCAAUGCCUCACGAAUAUCAUGAGAUGCUCGAUAAUUUCCGAAUUAUGAGCGAUUGGAAACGAACAGAUUGGAGAGUAAAGUGCUUCAAGGAGGAGAACUGCGUUCGGCCAUUUCCAAAUUUUCUAUUGCAGAAUAAUAUGGUGGAAAAUGUCUUGUUUGGACUCGUCUUAAUUAAUAGUUUGUUCUUUGUAACUGAAGUCUAGCUAUGUAUUAGCUUGUACUCUCUUUCCUUUUACAGCAAAUUACAGCUAUAUCUUUUCUUUUACAAUAAAUCACAACUAUAUACCUGUUCUUUUUUAAGUUUCGAAAAUAUGCACUAGUUUAGCUAGAAUCUUAUAUCGAUUUAAUUCUUAGCUAUACUAUAAAUUUUACUUUGUACAGUCCAAUGAUUAUUUUGAUUUUUAGCAAACUUUUAGGUGAGAUAGGUAAAAUAAAAAGU
Molecule: long non-coding RNA, 684 nt
Organism: Odontomachus brunneus
Lineage: Eukaryota; Metazoa; Arthropoda; Insecta; Hymenoptera; Formicidae
Exons: 5
Source: RefSeq, a predicted model, not a curated record